Eucalyptus grandis is the source of this 490-nucleotide long non-coding RNA. RefSeq lists it as uncharacterized. NCBI's taxonomy places the organism in Eukaryota, Viridiplantae, Streptophyta, Magnoliopsida, Myrtales, Myrtaceae. The record is from RefSeq and is a predicted model, not a curated record. The transcript is spliced from 2 exons.
GUCUUCGGAGGCAGACAGGAUAAGUACAUUGUCGCGCAUGAUGAUGCAGACAUGGUGUCAGGAAAAACUGAGUGGAUCUCUAUGCAUUAUGGUUAAGGGAAUAAAAGCUAAAUCGAUGGCUCCAAGGGAAUACUUGCACUCUUCUUGAUAAACUCAAGUGCAUUGUGGUCGAGGGAUAGGUUUCCUGGACACAAGAAUGCAGUUUGCAUAUGGAAUCUACUCUGCUUUGAGGAUUUGCUAACUGUCCAUCCGUUGAGAGUUGAUGGCCAUUGGGAUAUCGAGCUCGCUGUCAAGGCUUGCAGCCACGGAUGAGCCACCUCACGAGCCAUGGACGAGCAAGGCUUGUGGAUGAGCCAACAUAUUUGUGCAUGCGGUCAUGGUCAUGUUGGGAGGUUAGAAAUGAUCCUUCUUUUUCCUUUUUGUAUGAACUCCAUGUGGUUGUAUGUGGUCGGGCCUCAAACUCAAUCUAUGCGAGAAUUUCCCCUCCUGC